AUCGUGUGUACUAGAUUGAUUAAAAAUUAUUUUUAGUGGUUUAUUGUACCUUUUGUAUCAUGAUCUUUUGAGUGUAAGUACAGUAUUGUAUGUCCCGAAAGAUUCACGAUUUUAUUUAAUCUAAUCAACUGGUUGAGUUUAUUGGCUAGAGGGGUUAUAGGUUAUUAAGUAAAUAUCUAGAAAGAUUAAAUAAGCAGUGAUAAAUUAUCCGUGUGGUCUAAUAUCUGGUUAGCAACUUGUUUAUCGAAUUAUGUGGAGGAUUGAUUGUGUUGAUCUUCUUGAACAGAGAUAAAUUAAUGAUUAAAUUGUUGUCUUAGAUUAAGAUUGUCUUUGGGUUAUGAAGUUAUUUACAUAGCUUAUGUUAAUUUAAGGUGAUUUAGAUCUUGUGUAUUUAGUAGUUGUUCAUAUAAUUGGUUAUUGGGAUGAUGAAAGAAUAAGUAGGUUAAUAUAGUUUGUUGAAAAUAAUUAUUUUUUUUCUCGGUGAUGCUUUCGACUGUUUAUUAAAAACAUUUCUAUUUGGUGAUAUUUAAAUAGUAUGACCUGCCCAAUGAAAUUUAACAUGAAUGGCCGCAGCUUUAGCUGUGCUAAGGUAGCAUAAUAUAUAGUUUUUUAAUUGGAGACUUGUGAAUGGUUCAACGAAAGGUGUCUAAGAUGGUAAUUGUUUCUGAAUUUAAUUUAGUGGUGAGGAAUCCAUUAUUAAGAUAUAAGACGGAAAGACCCCAAGAGUUUUACUAUCUAUAAUAGUUUUAUUUGGGGUAAAUGUGUAUGAUUCAUUUAUUUUUAGAUCCUACAGGAUAGAGGAUAAAAUUACCUUGGGGAUAACUGAGUAAAGAGCAGUGAGAGAUCGCAUUAAGCUGUUUGUUACUACCUCGAUGUUGGCUUGUUGUACCGAUUUGGUGUAGAGGCUAAAUUUGGAAGUCUGUUCGACUUUUAAUUCUUCAUGAGCUGAGUUAAGACCGGUGUAAGCCAGGUUGGUUCUUAUCUAUAUAUGAUUCUAGCUAGUACGAAAGGAGGGUUGGGGUAUACUGUUGUAUAAAGUAGUUAGAGGAUAUAGACUUUAGUAAUAGAGGUUGAUUAA
RNAcentral lists this ribosomal RNA (1078 nucleotides) under Schmidtea mediterranea. RNAcentral's name for it is "16S ribosomal RNA". The stretch from base 703 to 987 matches the Rfam family "Archaeal large subunit ribosomal RNA", at positions 2151 to 2715 of the family's 2987-position model. Lineage: Eukaryota; Metazoa; Platyhelminthes; Tricladida; Dugesiidae. The record is from RNAcentral.